Molecule: ribosomal RNA, 505 nt
Filed under: uncultured bacterium
Lineage: Bacteria
Description: partial 16S ribosomal RNA
Rfam family: Bacterial small subunit ribosomal RNA
Source: RNAcentral
GACGAACGCUGGCGGCGUGCCUAAUACAUGCAAGUAGAACGCACAGUUUAUACCGUAGCUUGCUACACCAUAGACUGUGAGUUGCGAACGGGUGAGUAACGCGUAGGUAACCUGCCUGGUAGCGGGGGAUAACUAUUGGAAACGAUAGCUAAUACCGCAUAAUAUUGAUUAUUGCAUGAUAAUUAAUUGAAAGGUGCAAUUGCACCACUACCAGAUGGACCUGCGUUGUAUUAGCUAGUAGGUGAGGUAACGGCUCACCUAGGCGACGAUACAUAGCCGACCUGAGAGGGUGGUCGGCCACACUGGGACUGAGACACGGCCCAGACUCCUACGGGAGGCAGCAGUAGGGAAUCUUCGGCAAUGGACGAAAGUCUGACCGAGCAACGCCGCGUGAGUGAAGAAGGUUUUCGGAUCGUAAAGCUCUGUUGUAAGAGAAGAACGGGUGUGAGAGUGGAAAGUUCACACUGUGACGGUAUCUUACCAGAAAGGGACGGCUAACUACGUG